RNAcentral lists this unclassified non-coding RNA (246 nucleotides) under fungal sp. Its description in RNAcentral is "partial internal transcribed spacer region". The stretch from base 1 to 46 matches the Rfam family "Eukaryotic small subunit ribosomal RNA", at positions 1786 to 1831 of the family's 1831-position model. The record is from RNAcentral. Lineage: Eukaryota; Fungi.
AAGUCGUAACAAGGUCUCCGUUGGUGAACCAGCGGAGGGAUCAUUAAUAGAGGGCCGAAAGCUCCCUAAACCCACUGUGAACCUACUCAUAUGUUUUUUUGCUUCGGCAGGCGGCCCCAGGGCGGGUGCCACGGCCUCUUCGGUGAGGUGCCUGCCGGGCGCUACCAAACCCAACUGUUGCUGUAGUGUUGUUCCGAGCACCCAAAAAACAAAAUCAAAACUUUCAACAACGGAUCUCUUGGUUCU